Molecule: unclassified non-coding RNA, 302 nt
Filed under: Hevea brasiliensis (rubber tree)
Lineage: Eukaryota; Viridiplantae; Streptophyta; Magnoliopsida; Malpighiales; Euphorbiaceae
Source: RNAcentral
CUUGAGACCAUAACAAAGAUAAUACUUCCUGAUGUGGAAACUGUCAACUAGCAUAGUUCAAUGAUGGUUGGAAGUUAUUUUGUUUAUUGUAUAUAUAAGCUAUUUUGUUUCUUUCAAUUGGUGUUUGAGAUUGUUGAUAUCUAAAUUCUUUUGGAAUGAGCUCACAGUAUGAAUAAUUUACUUGUUGCCACUCUGAGCCGUAUGUGGAUGUAUAUUGCAAUUUAUAUUAUUUUCUAGCUCUGUCAGAGGAAAUAAGUGCAACUGAUAAGCGGCCAGGUUUUGUACUUACCAAGGAAGGUGAA